UCUCCGUUGGUGAGCCAGCGGAGGGAUCAUUACAGGACUCGCAAGACUCCUACAACCCUGUGAACUUAACUAUAAGCACGUUGCUUCGGCGGGUGUCUCGGAGGGGGGCUUACGUUUUCACACAAACUUUGCAUGCAGUGUAGAAUGUAUUUUUUGUUUUUGCGAUCACGCAAUCAAUACAACUUUCAACAACGGAUCUCUUGGCUCUC
This 209-nucleotide unclassified non-coding RNA is filed under the name plant metagenome. RNAcentral's name for it is "partial contains small subunit ribosomal RNA, internal transcribed spacer 1, and 5.8S ribosomal RNA". The record is from RNAcentral.